UGAGUACGAGAUGCUACGGCAUCGAAGCAGUCUAUGUCAUACUUCCAAGAAAAGCUUGCACUGUCAGAAACAGAUAAUGCCUGUACCAUAACCGACACAGGUGGGUAGGUAGAGUAUACUAAGGGGCGCGAGAUAACUCUCUCUAAGGAACUCGGCAAAAUGACUCCGUAACUUCGGGAGAAGGAGUGCCUUAUUUUUAAGGUUGCAAUAACAAGAUCCAAGCAACUGUUUACCAAAAACACAGGUCUCCGCUAAGUCGUAAGACGAUGUAUGGGGGCUGACGCCUGCCCAGUGCCAGAAGGUUAAAGAAGUCGGUUAGCAUUCGCGGGGCUGGUAACUGAAGCCCUGGUGAACGGCGGCCGUAACAAUAACGGUCCUAAGGUAGCGAAAUUCCUUGUCGGGUAAGUUCCGACCCGCACGAAAGGCGUAAUGAUUUGGAUACUGUCUCGGAGAGGGGCUCGGUGAAAUAGACUUGUCUGUGAAGAUGCGGACUACCUGCACCUGGACAGAAAGACCCUAUGAAGCUUUACUGUAACUUGAAAUUGAAAUUGGACUUUAUUUGCGCAGUAUAGGUGGGAGGCGUUGAAAAUAUUCUUGCGGGAAUAUUGGAGCCAUCAGUGAGAUACCACUCUUGUAAUGUUAGAUUUCUAACUUUAUAUCAUUAUCUGGUUAAAGAACAGUUUCAGGCGGGCAGUUUGACUGGGGCGGUCGCCUCCCAAAUGGUAACGGAGGCGCACAAAGGUUUCCUCUGAACGGGUAGAAAUCGUAUCUAGAGUGUAAAGGCAUAAGGAAGCUUGACUGUGAGACCUACAAGUCGAGCAGGGACGAAAGUCGGUCUUAGUGAUCUGACGGUGCUGAGUGGAAAGGCCGUCACUCAACGGAUAAAAGUUACUCUAAGGAUAACAGGCUGAUCUCCCCCAAGAGUUCACAUCGACGGGGAGGUUUGGCACCUCGAUGUCGGCUCAUCGCAUCCUGGGGCGGUAGUACGUCCCAAGGGUUGGGCUGUUCGCCCAUGAAAGCGGUACGCGAGCUGGGUUCAGAACGUCGUGAGACAGUUCGGUCCAUAUCCGGUGUAGGCGUUAGAAUAUUGAGAGGAGCCUUCUUUAGUACGAGAGGACCGAGAAGGACAUACCUCUGGUGUACCAGUUAUCGUGCCAACGGUAAACGCUGGGUAGCUAUGUAUGGAGUGGAUAACCGCUGAAAGCAUCUAAGUGGGAAGCCCACCUCAAGAUAAGUAUUCUCAU
Molecule: ribosomal RNA, 1244 nt
Filed under: metagenome
Description: bacterial LSU rRNA
Rfam family: Bacterial large subunit ribosomal RNA
Source: RNAcentral